GUCGUGCAGCAGAGGGGCCCCCGCGGCCUCCUCUCGCGGCGUGCCAAAGGUCGGUGACCCACCCGACCCGUCUUGAAACACGGACCAAGGAGUCUAACAUGUGUGCGAGUCAAUGGGCUAACUAAACCCAGAGGCGCAAUGAAAGUGAAAGGAGGGCGCUCCUCGGAGCGCUCUCCGGGGCCGAUCCCUGACCGAGUGAGACGCGGCCGCGGCCGACCCACACCAAAGCGGGGACGCUGAGGAGGCGCGCGGGGUGAGACCCUUUCCCCCGUUAGCGCCGCCGGCCUCGCGGGCGCCCGGCCCUCUCUCUGGUCUCUGCCUGUACGCAGGGGGGCGCAGGCCCGGGACUUGCCAAGCGACGCCGUCGCGCGAAUCUGUUGUUGACCACGCCGGCUCUGCUUGGGCUCUCGGUUGGCGUGCCGCGUGUCUUUGGGCGCGUCGUUGCGGGUGGGGCGGGCUCUCGCGGGCUCGUCCUUCCCCGUCUCGGCACGUCCGGCGCGGUUUCGCUCUCCGAUCCUGCUCUGUCCGGCGUGGCCUAGCGCGCGUGCUGUCGGCAAGUACCAUGAGCAGACAUGUUGGGACCCGAAAGAUGGUGAACUAUGCCUGGCCAGGAUGAAGCCAGAGGAAACUCUGGUGGAGGUCCGCAGCAAUUCUGACGUGC
This 661-nucleotide ribosomal RNA is filed under the name Thalamita chaptalii. RNAcentral's name for it is "partial 28S ribosomal RNA". It matches the Rfam family "Eukaryotic large subunit ribosomal RNA", at positions 582 to 894 of the family's 3401-position model. The record is from RNAcentral. Lineage: Eukaryota; Metazoa; Arthropoda; Malacostraca; Decapoda; Portunidae.